GACGAACGCUGGCGGCGUGCCUAAUACAUGCAAGUAGAACGCUGAAGAGAGGAGCUUACUCUUCUUGGAUGAGUUGCGAACGGGUGAGUAACGCGUAGGUAACCUGCCUUGUAGCGGGGGAUAACUAUUGGAAACGAUAGCUAAUACCGCAUAACAAUGGAUGACACAUGUCAUUUAUUUGAAAGGGGCAAUUGCUCCACUACAAGAUGGACCUGCGUUGUAUUAGCCAGUAGGUGAGGUAAUGGCUCACCUAGGCGACGAUACAUAGCCGACCUGAGAGGGUGAUCGGCCACACUGGGACUGAGACACGGCCCAGACUCCUACGGGAGGCAGCAGUAGGGAAUCUUCGGCAAUGGGGGCAACCUUGACCGAGCAACGCCGCGUGAGUGAAGAAGGUUUUCGGAUCGUAAAGCUCUGUUGUAAGUCAAGAACGGGUGUGAGAGAGGAAAGUUCACACUGUGACGGUAGCUUACCAGAAAGGGACGGCUAACUACGUG
RNAcentral lists this ribosomal RNA (497 nucleotides) under uncultured bacterium. Its description in RNAcentral is "partial 16S ribosomal RNA". It matches the Rfam family "Bacterial small subunit ribosomal RNA", at positions 28 to 507 of the family's 1533-position model. The record is from RNAcentral.